This is an unclassified non-coding RNA of Macaca fascicularis (crab-eating macaque), 137 nucleotides long. It matches the Rfam family "Metazoan signal recognition particle RNA". From Rfam's summary of the family: The signal recognition particle (SRP) is a universally conserved ribonucleoprotein. It is involved in the co-translational targeting of proteins to membranes. The record is from Ensembl. NCBI's taxonomy places the organism in Eukaryota, Metazoa, Chordata, Mammalia, Primates, Cercopithecidae.
GCCGGGCGUGGUGGUGCGCGCCUGUAGUCCCAGCUACUCGGAGGCUGAGGUGGGAGAAUGGCGUGAACCCGGGAGGAGUGAGCCGAGAUUGCGCCACUGCACUCCAGCCUGGGUGACACAGCCAGACUCCGUCUCAA